RNAcentral lists this ribosomal RNA (253 nucleotides) under uncultured bacterium. RNAcentral's name for it is "partial 16S ribosomal RNA". It matches the Rfam family "Bacterial small subunit ribosomal RNA", at positions 524 to 776 of the family's 1533-position model. The record is from RNAcentral.
UACGUAGGGGGCAAGCGUUGUCCGGAUUUAUUGGGCGUAAAGAGCGUGUAGGCGGUUAGGUAGGUCCGUUGUGAAAACUCGAGGCUCAACCUCGAGACGCCGAUGGAAACCACCUAACUAGAGUCCGGAAGAGGAGAGUGGAAUUCCUGGUGUAGCGGUGAAAUGCGCAGAUAUCAGGAAGAACACCCGUGGCUAAGGCGGCUCUCUAGUACGGUACUGACGCUGAGACGCGAAAGCGUGGGGAGCGAACAGG